UACGGAGGGAGCUAGCGUUGUUCGGAAUUACUGGGCGUAAAGCGCACGUAGGCGGCUUUGUAAGUUAGAGGUGAAAGCCCGGGGCUCAACUCCGGAACUGCCUUUAAGACUGCAUCGCUUGAAUCCAGGAGAGGUGAGUGGAAUUCCGAGUGUAGAGGUGAAAUUCGUAGAUAUUGGGAAGAACACCGAUGGCGAAGGCAGCCAUCUGGACCGACACUGACGCUGAGGCGCGAAAGCGUGGGGAGCAAACAGG
Molecule: ribosomal RNA, 253 nt
Filed under: uncultured bacterium
Lineage: Bacteria
Description: partial 16S ribosomal RNA
Rfam family: Bacterial small subunit ribosomal RNA
Source: RNAcentral